GGUGGUUCUCAGUUGAUGCACCCCAGAAUCAGGUUCCUCCUUCUCUGGUUCCAGGUGCAUCACCUGAGAAUGGCA
Molecule: non-coding RNA, 75 nt
Organism: Myotis davidii
Lineage: Eukaryota; Metazoa; Chordata; Mammalia; Chiroptera; Vespertilionidae
Source: Rfam